UGGAAAAAGAGGUAUUGGCGUGCCUCAAUCCGAAGGCAUGGCUGAUAAUAAUUACAGGCAGGCGGGCAGCUCGAUGGAUGCAGCCAUGUUUGUUGGAUUGAGCCGCGUCAAUAUCUCUUCUUGCCUU
This 127-nucleotide microRNA precursor is filed under the name Oryza brachyantha (malo sina). The record is from RNAcentral. Lineage: Eukaryota; Viridiplantae; Streptophyta; Magnoliopsida; Poales; Poaceae.